UUAAGCGACUAAGCGUACACGGUGGAUGCCCUGGCAGUCAGAGGCGAUGAAGGACGUGCUAAUCUGCGAUAAGCGUCGGUAAGGUGAUAUGAACCGUUAUAACCGGCGAUUUCCGAAUGGGGAAACCCAGUGUGUUUCGACACACUAUCAUUAACUGAAUCCAUAGGUUAAUGAGGCGAACCGGGGGAACUGAAACAUCUAAGUACCCCGAGGAAAAGAAAUCAACCGAGAUUCCCCCAGUAGCGGCGAGCGAACGGGGAGCAGCCCAGAGUCUGAAUCAGUGUGUGUGUUAGUGGAAGCGUCUGGAAAGGCGCGCGAUACAGGGUGACAGCCCCGUACACAAAAAUGCACAUGCUGUGAGCUCGAUGAGUAGGGCGGGACACGUGGUAUCCUGUCUGAAUAUGGGGGGACCAUCCUCCAAGGCUAAAUACUCCUGACUGACCGAUAGUGAACCAGUACCGUGAGGGAAAGGCGAAAAGAACCCCGGCGAGGGGAGUGAAAAAGAACCUGAAACCGUGUACGUACAAGCAGUGGGAGCACGCUUAGGCGUGUGACUGCGUACCUUUUGUAUAAUGGGUCAGCGACUUAUAUUCUGUAGCAAGGUUAACCGAAUAGGGGAGCCGAAGGGAAACCGAGUCUUAACUGGGCGUUAAGUUGCAGGGUAUAGACCCGAAACCCGGUGAUCUAGCCAUGGGCAGGUUGAAGGUUGGGUAACACUAACUGGAGGACCGAACCGACUAAUGUUGAAAAAUUAGCGGAUGACUUGUGGCUGGGGGUGAAAGGCCAAUCAAACCGGGAGAUAGCUGGUUCUCCCCGAAAGCUAUUUAGGUAGCGCCUCGUGAAUUCAUCUCCGGGGGUAGAGCACUGUUUCGGCAAGGGGGUCAUCCCGACUUACCAACCCGAUGCAAACUGCGAAUACCGGAGAAUGUUAUCACGGGAGACACACGGCGGGUGCUAACGUCCGUCGUGAAGAGGGAAACAACCCAGACCGCCAGCUAAGGUCCCAAAGUCAUGGUUAAGUGGGAAACGAUGUGGGAAGGCCCAGACAGCCAGGAUGUUGGCUUAGAAGCAGCCAUCAUUUAAAGAAAGCGUAAUAGCUCACUGGUCGAGUCGGCCUGCGCGGAAGAUGUAACGGGGCUAAACCAUGCACCGAAGCUGCGGCAGCGACGCUUAUGCGUUGUUGGGUAGGGGAGCGUUCUGUAAGCCUGCGAAGGUGUGCUGUGAGGCAUGCUGGAGGUAUCAGAAGUGCGAAUGCUGACAUAAGUAACGAUAAAGCGGGUGAAAAGCCCGCUCGCCGGAAGACCAAGGGUUCCUGUCCAACGUUAAUCGGGGCAGGGUGAGUCGACCCCUAAGGCGAGGCCGAAAGGCGUAGUCGAUGGGAAACAGGUUAAUAUUCCUGUACUUGGUGUUACUGCGAAGGGGGGACGGAGAAGGCUAUGUUGGCCGGGCGACGGUUGUCCCGGUUUAAGCGUGUAGGCUGGUUUUCCAGGCAAAUCCGGAAAAUCAAGGCUGAGGCGUGAUGACGAGGCACUACGGUGCUGAAGCAACAAAUGCCCUGCUUCCAGGAAAAGCCUCUAAGCAUCAGGUAACAUCAAAUCGUACCCCAAACCGACACAGGUGGUCAGGUAGAGAAUACCAAGGCGCUUGAGAGAACUCGGGUGAAGGAACUAGGCAAAAUGGUGCCGUAACUUCGGGAGAAGGCACGCUGAUAUGUAGGUGAAGUCCCUCGCGGAUGGAGCUGAAAUCAGUCGAAGAUACCAGCUGGCUGCAACUGUUUAUUAAAAACACAGCACUGUGCAAACACGAAAGUGGACGUAUACGGUGUGACGCCUGCCCGGUGCCGGAAGGUUAAUUGAUGGGGUUAGCGCAAGCGAAGCUCUUGAUCGAAGCCCCGGUAAACGGCGGCCGUAACUAUAACGGUCCUAAGGUAGCGAAAUUCCUUGUCGGGUAAGUUCCGACCUGCACGAAUGGCGUAAUGAUGGCCAGGCUGUCUCCACCCGAGACUCAGUGAAAUUGAACUCGCUGUGAAGAUGCAGUGUACCCGCGGCAAGACGGAAAGACCCCGUGAACCUUUACUAUAGCUUGACACUGAACAUUGAGCCUUGAUGUGUAGGAUAGGUGGGAGGCUUUGAAGUGUGGACGCCAGUCUGCAUGGAGCCGACCUUGAAAUACCACCCUUUAAUGUUUGAUGUUCUAACGUUGACCCGUAAUCCGGGUUGCGGACAGUGUCUGGUGGGUAGUUUGACUGGGGCGGUCUCCUCCUAAAGAGUAACGGAGGAGCACGAAGGUUGGCUAAUCCUGGUCGGACAUCAGGAGGUUAGUGCAAUGGCAUAAGCCAGCUUGACUGCGAGCGUGACGGCGCGAGCAGGUGCGAAAGCAGGUCAUAGUGAUCCGGUGGUUCUGAAUGGAAGGGCCAUCGCUCAACGGAUAAAAGGUACUCCGGGGAUAACAGGCUGAUACCGCCCAAGAGUUCAUAUCGACGGCGGUGUUUGGCACCUCGAUGUCGGCUCAUCACAUCCUGGGGCUGAAGUAGGUCCCAAGGGUAUGGCUGUUCGCCAUUUAAAGUGGUACGCGAGCUGGGUUUAGAACGUCGUGAGACAGUUCGGUCCCUAUCUGCCGUGGGCGCUGGAGAACUGAGGGGGGCUGCUCCUAGUACGAGAGGACCGGAGUGGACGCAUCACUGGUGUUCGGGUUGUCAUGCCAAUGGCACUGCCCGGUAGCUAAAUGCGGAAGAGAUAAGUGCUGAAAGCAUCUAAGCACGAAACUUGCCCCGAGAUGAGUUCUCCCUGACUCCUUGAGAGUCCUGAAGGAACGUUGAAGACGACGACGUUGAUAGGCCGGGUGUGUAAGCGCAGCGAUGCGUUGAGCUAACCGGUACUAAUGAACCGUGAGGCUUAACCUU
This 2902-nucleotide ribosomal RNA is filed under the name Escherichia coli. RNAcentral describes it as "bacterial LSU rRNA". It matches the Rfam family "Bacterial large subunit ribosomal RNA". The record is from RNAcentral. Lineage: Bacteria; Pseudomonadati; Pseudomonadota; Gammaproteobacteria; Enterobacterales; Enterobacteriaceae.